RNAcentral lists this non-coding RNA (24 nucleotides) under Mus musculus (house mouse). Lineage: Eukaryota; Metazoa; Chordata; Mammalia; Rodentia; Muridae. RNAcentral also lists the same sequence under 1 other name. The record is from RNAcentral.
UGAAAGAUGCCAGGCAGCAGAGAA